This 429-nucleotide ribosomal RNA is filed under the name Acidobacteriota bacterium. Its description in RNAcentral is "Acidobacteria bacterium partial 16S ribosomal RNA". It matches the Rfam family "Bacterial small subunit ribosomal RNA", at positions 355 to 776 of the family's 1533-position model. Lineage: Bacteria; Pseudomonadati; Acidobacteriota. The record is from RNAcentral.
UGGGGAAUUUUGGACAAUGGGGGAAACCCUGAUCCAGCCAUCCCGCGUGUGCGAUGAAGGCCUUCGGGUUGUAAAGCACUUUUGGCAGGAAAGAAACGUCAUGGGUUAAUACCCCGUGAAACUGACGGUACCUGCAGAAUAAGCACCGGCUAACUACGUGCCAGCAGCCGCGGUAAUACGUAGGGUGCAAGCGUUAAUCGGAAUUACUGGGCGUAAAGCGUGCGCAGGCGGUUCGGAAAGAAAGAUGUGAAAUCCCAGGGCUCAACUUUGGAACUGCAUUUUUAACUGCCGGGCUAGAGUGUGUCAGAGGGAGGUGGAAUUCCGCGUGUAGCAGUGAAAUGCGUAGAUAUGCGGAGGAACACCGAUGGCGAAGGCGGCCUCCUGGGAUAACACUGACGCUCAUGCACGAAAGCGUGGGGAGCAAACAGG